RNAcentral lists this ribosomal RNA (1302 nucleotides) under Staphylococcus aureus. RNAcentral describes it as "bacterial SSU rRNA". It matches the Rfam family "Bacterial small subunit ribosomal RNA", at positions 236 to 1528 of the family's 1533-position model. The record is from RNAcentral. Lineage: Bacteria; Bacillati; Bacillota; Bacilli; Caryophanales; Staphylococcaceae.
CUGCAUUAGCUAGUUGGUAAGGUAACGGCUUACCAAGGCAACGAUGCAUAGCCGACCUGAGAGGGUGAUCGGCCACACUGGAACUGAGACACGGUCCAGACUCCUACGGGAGGCAGCAGUAGGGAAUCUUCCGCAAUGGGCGAAAGCCUGACGGAGCAACGCCGCGUGAGUGAUGAAGGUCUUCGGAUCGUAAAACUCUGUUAUUAGGGAAGAACAUAUGUGUAAGUAACUGUGCACAUCUUGACGGUACCUAAUCAGAAAGCCACGGCUAACUACGUGCCAGCAGCCGCGGUAAUACGUAGGUGGCAAGCGUUAUCCGGAAUUAUUGGGCGUAAAGCGCGCGUAGGCGGUUUUUUAAGUCUGAUGUGAAAGCCCACGGCUCAACCGUGGAGGGUCAUUGGAAACUGGAAAACUUGAGUGCAGAAGAGGAAAGUGGAAUUCCAUGUGUAGCGGUGAAAUGCGCAGAGAUAUGGAGGAACACCAGUGGCGAAGGCGACUUUCUGGUCUGUAACUGACGCUGAUGUGCGAAAGCGUGGGGAUCAAACAGGAUUAGAUACCCUGGUAGUCCACGCCGUAAACGAUGAGUGCUAAGUGUUAGGGGGUUUCCGCCCCUUAGUGCUGCAGCUAACGCAUUAAGCACUCCGCCUGGGGAGUACGACCGCAAGGUUGAAACUCAAAGGAAUUGACGGGGACCCGCACAAGCGGUGGAGCAUGUGGUUUAAUUCGAAGCAACGCGAAGAACCUUACCAAAUCUUGACAUCCUUUGACAACUCUAGAGAUAGAGCCUUCCCCUUCGGGGGACAAAGUGACAGGUGGUGCAUGGUUGUCGUCAGCUCGUGUCGUGAGAUGUUGGGUUAAGUCCCGCAACGAGCGCAACCCUUAAGCUUAGUUGCCAUCAUUAAGUUGGGCACUCUAAGUUGACUGCCGGUGACAAACCGGAGGAAGGUGGGGAUGACGUCAAAUCAUCAUGCCCCUUAUGAUUUGGGCUACACACGUGCUACAAUGGACAAUACAAAGGGCAGCGAAACCGCGAGGUCAAGCAAAUCCCAUAAAGUUGUUCUCAGUUCGGAUUGUAGUCUGCAACUCGACUACAUGAAGCUGGAAUCGCUAGUAAUCGUAGAUCAGCAUGCUACGGUGAAUACGUUCCCGGGUCUUGUACACACCGCCCGUCACACCACGAGAGUUUGUAACACCCGAAGCCGGUGGAGUAACCUUUUAGGAGCUAGCCGUCGAAGGUGGGACAAAUGAUUGGGGUGAAGUCGUAACAAGGUAGCCGUAUCGGAAGGUGCGGCUGGAUCACCU